RNAcentral lists this ribosomal RNA (497 nucleotides) under uncultured bacterium. RNAcentral describes it as "partial 16S ribosomal RNA". It matches the Rfam family "Bacterial small subunit ribosomal RNA", at positions 28 to 507 of the family's 1533-position model. The record is from RNAcentral.
GAUGAACGCUGGCGGCGUGCCUAAUACAUGCAAGUCGAGCGAACAGACGAGGAGCUUGCUCCUCUGACGUUAGCGGCGGACGGGUGAGUAACACGUGGAUAACCUACCUAUAAGACUGGGAUAACUUCGGGAAACCGGAGCUAAUACCGGAUAAUAUAUUGCACCGCAUGGUUCAAUAGUGAAAGACGGUUUUGCUGUCACUUAUAGAUGGAUCCGCGCCGCAUUAGCUGGUUGGUAGGGUAACGGCUUACCAAGGCAACGAUGCGUAGCCGAAGGGAGAGGGGGAUAGGCCGCACGGGAGGGGGACCGGCGACCAGAGGCCUGCGGGAGGGAGCAGUAGGGUAUCGGAGGCAAUGGGGGAAAGCCUGACGGAGCAAGGCGGCGCGAGUGAUGAAGGCCUUCGGUGCGGAAUAACGUGUUAUGGGGUGAAAACAAAUUUGUAAGGAACUGAGGAGGGCGUGACGGUAACUGAUCAGAAAGCCACGGCUAACUACGUG